This 259-nucleotide ribosomal RNA is filed under the name uncultured archaeon. RNAcentral's name for it is "partial 16S ribosomal RNA". It matches the Rfam family "Archaeal small subunit ribosomal RNA", at positions 748 to 1008 of the family's 1478-position model. The record is from RNAcentral.
AGGGUGUAAACGCUGCGGGCUUGGUGUUGGGGUCCUUUGAGGGCGCCCAGUGCCGGAGAGAAGUUGUUAAGCCUGCUGCUUGGGAGUACGUCCGCAAGGAUGAAACUUAAAGGAAUUGGCGGGGGAGCACCGCAACGGGAGGAGCGUGCGGUUCAAUUGGAUUCAACGCCGGACAACUCACCGGAUAGGACAGACAUAUGAUAGUCGGGCUGAAGACUCUACUUGAUGAUCUGAGAGGAGGUGCAUGGCGUCAGUGACU